RNAcentral lists this ribosomal RNA (451 nucleotides) under uncultured bacterium. RNAcentral describes it as "bacterial SSU rRNA". It matches the Rfam family "Bacterial small subunit ribosomal RNA", at positions 354 to 797 of the family's 1533-position model. The record is from RNAcentral.
GUAGGGAAUCUUCGGCAAUGGGGGCAACCCUGACCGAGCAACGCCGCGUGAGUGAAGAAGGUUUUCGGAUCGUAAAGCUCUGUUGUAAGUCAAGAACGAGUGUGAGAGUGGAAAGUUCACACUGUGACGGUAGCUUACCAGAAAGGGACGGCUAACUACGUGCCAGCAGCCGCGGUAAUACGUAGGUCCCGAGCGUUGUCCGGAUUUAUUGGGCGUAAAGCGAGCGCAGGCGGUUUGAUAAGUCUGAAGUUAAAGGCUGUGGCUCAACCAUAGUUCGCUUUGGAAACUGUCAAACUUGAGUGCAGAAGGGGAGAGUGGAAUUCCAUGUGUAGCGGUGAAAUGCGUAGAUAUAUGGAGGAACACCGGUGGCGAAAGCGGCUCUCUGGUCUGUAACUGACGCUGAGGCUCGAAAGCGUGGGGAGCGAACAGGAUUAGAAACCCCAGUAGUCCU